CCUACGGGAGGCAGCAGUGGGGAAUAUUGCGCAAUGGGCGAAAGCCUGACGCAGCGACGCCGCGUGAGGGAUGAAGGUCUUCGGAUCGUAAACCUCUGUCAGCAGGGAAGAACGGUCACUGUGCUAAUCAGCAGUGAAUUGACGGUACCUGCAAAGGAAGCACCGGCUAACUCCGUGCCAGCAGCGGCGGUAAUACGGAGGGUGCGAGCGUUAAUCGGAAUUACUGGGCGUAAAGCGCUCGUAGGCGGUAUGUCAAGUCAAGGGUGAAAUCCCCGCGCUCAACGUGGGAACUGCCUUUGAAACAGGCAAACUGGAGUGUGUGAGAGGAUAGUGGAAGUCCAGGUGGAGGAGUGAAAGCCGUAGAUAUCUGGAGGAACAUCAGUGGCGGAGGCGACUAUCUGGCACAUAACUGACGCUGAGGAGCGAAAGCGUGGGUAGCAAACAGGAUUAGAUACCCGAGUAGUC
Molecule: ribosomal RNA, 465 nt
Filed under: uncultured bacterium
Lineage: Bacteria
Description: partial 16S ribosomal RNA
Rfam family: Bacterial small subunit ribosomal RNA
Source: RNAcentral